ACGGAGGGGGCUAGCGUUGUUCGGAAUUACUGGGCGUAAGGCGCACGUAGGCGGCUUUGUAAGUUAGAGGUGAAAGCCCAGGGCUCAACCCUGGAAUUGCCUUUAAGACUGCAUCGCUAGAAUUGUGGAGAGGUAAGUGGAAUUCCGAGUGUAGAGGUGAAAUUCGUAGAUAUUCGGAAGACCACCAGUGGCGAAGGCGGCUUGCCAGAAUGCGCUCGACGGUGAGGGAUGAAAGCUGGGGGAGCAAACCGGA
Molecule: ribosomal RNA, 253 nt
Filed under: uncultured prokaryote
Description: partial 16S ribosomal RNA
Rfam family: Bacterial small subunit ribosomal RNA
Source: RNAcentral